UGGCUCAGAUGGUAAAGCGUCUGCCUACAAUGCAGGAGACCCGGGUUCGAUCCCUGG
Non-coding RNA from Bos taurus (domestic cattle), 57 nucleotides. The record is from Rfam. NCBI's taxonomy places the organism in Eukaryota, Metazoa, Chordata, Mammalia, Artiodactyla, Bovidae.